AACUAGCAUACCGCGAAAACGCGAGCAAAAAUCGGUACUUUCGCGUAGUUCUUCCGGUCGGCUUCUCGGACUGCCGGCUGCACCGAAUCGUGCGGCGUGUUUUCGAUUUCACAUUUGUUUUACGUACUGCUCGCCAACUACAACGAAAUUCCGCAUAACGUUUUGCAUUACCGUAUAUGUAAAUCGGUCGAAAUCAAUAAAAUUGCACCCAGAUCUAUUAAAACAUAUUAUUUUGACGCUCGGGGUUCGGAAAAAUGGGUACCAAAAGUAUGUCCUCGUACUCGAAUGGUGUAGGACUGUCC
Molecule: non-coding RNA, 302 nt
Organism: Cinara cedri
Lineage: Eukaryota; Metazoa; Arthropoda; Insecta; Hemiptera; Aphididae
Source: the annotation of a GenBank genome assembly